GAUGAAGAACGCAGUGAAAUGCGAUACGUAAUGUGAAUUGCAGAAUUCAGUGAAUCAUCGAGUCUUUGAACGCACAUUGCGCCCCCUGGUAUUCCGGGGGGCAUGCCUGUCCGAGCGUCAUUGCUGCCCUCAAGCACGGCUUGUGUGUUGGGCCUCCGUCCUCCUCCCGGGGACGGGCCCGAAAGGCAGCGGCGGCACCGCGUCCGGUCCUCGAGCGUAUGGGGCUUCGUCACCCGCUCUUGUAGGCCCGGCCGGCGCUUGCCGACGCAUCAAUCUUUUUUCCAGGUUGACCUCGGAUCAGGUAGGGAUACCCGCUGAACUUAAGCAUAUCAAUAAGCGGAGGA
This 344-nucleotide unclassified non-coding RNA is filed under the name soil metagenome. RNAcentral's name for it is "partial contains 5.8S ribosomal RNA, internal transcribed spacer 2, and large subunit ribosomal RNA". The stretch from base 1 to 120 matches the Rfam family "5.8S ribosomal RNA", at positions 35 to 154 of the family's 154-position model. The record is from RNAcentral.